GAUGAGGAUUCGUGGCUGUGUUUGCUGGGCUUCUUUUCCUUCUUGUUCUUCUGUUUGUUUUUCCCACUUUCAUCACUGCCUCGUCCCUUCUUUCCUCGUCUCUUGUUGCCUCUUUGCUUGUGGCCCUUCUCUUCAGAUGAAGCAUCUCUCUUCUCUCUUGGGUUACCAGACACGCCAUCUGACAUUUCAGUGGUUCUAGAGCUGGCUGUUGGUUUGUUGGCUCCAUGGUUUUCCAUUUCAUGGCUUUGCUCACUUGUCUCAUCACUUUCUUCACUUUCUUCACUACUUUGUCCUUUCUUGCCACGUUUCUUGUCACCCCGCUUCUUGUUGCCUCUUUGCUUAUGGCCCUUCUCUUCAGAAGAAGCAUCUCUCUUCUCUCUUGGGUUACCAGAUACACCGUUUGACAUUUCAGUGGUUCCAGAGCUGGCUGUCGGUUUGUUGGCUCCGUGGUUUUCCAUUUCAUGGCUUUGCUCACUGGUCUCGUCACUUUCUUCACUACUUUGUCCUUUCUUGCCACGUUUCUUGUCACCCCGCUUCUUGUUGCCUCUUUGCCUAUGGCCCUUCUCUUCAGAAGAAGCAUCUCUCUUCUCUCUUGGGUUCCCAGAUACGCCAUCUGACAUUUCAUUGGUACUAGAGCUGGCUGUUGGUUUGUUGGCUCCGUGGUUUUCCAUUUCAUGGCUUUCUUCACUGCUGCUGUCGCUUUCUCCACUUUCCUCACUGCUCUGUCCCUUCCUGCCUCGUCUCUUGUCACUCCUUUCUCUAAAGUCUUUCUUUGAAGCCCAUCGCUUUCUUCUUAAACUGGGAACAGUGGUGCUUAUCAUUGGGGCUGAGGAGAUUGUUGAGUCAAUGUCUUGUUCAGUGGCGGUUUGGUUUCCUUCAGAUGAUUGUGUUGUUUGCCUAGCAGCUGCUGUUGGGAGCACUGCAUCUCCAGUCACCAGGUUAGAGUCAAGUUGGGAUCUUCUCUCUAGUUCACAAGUAACUGCAAGGAAAACAAGAAAGACAAGACACAUUUAGGAUUAGUCAUUAUGAGCCCUUGGGUUCAGAAACUACAUCUUUCAAUGUAUUUUUUCAAUCACAUGUUGUUCAUGUAAUAUCUGAGACACUAUUUGACGUAAAUAGGUUUCUUACCAAGAGCCAGGAUUUGGUCCUUGUAUCUGCCAUACUUUCUGGGCAGAGGCAGAACCUGCUGGAGUUUCUGCCUCAGCUCACAUUUGGAGACGAUCCUGCUCUCAGAGAGGUUGAGCACGAGAGCGGCUCCAGUCAACGCCAACAGCAAUCCCAGCUUCAUGACUUCAAACUCUGCAACAAUGCAUUUAAACAAAUUAACAAAGGUUAAGCAAAUGUUGUUGGUAGAAAGGCUAAACUCAAUUUAGUUUUAGUAAAAACAUAAUUUUAAAUGCAUAAACAGAAAUACAAAAAAAAGUCAAUUCAAAGAGUUAAAAUGUCCCUGACAGAACUUAAAAAAAACUAUUAGUAAAAGGACCCUCACCUUUUUACCUUCCUGCUUGUCUUUCUAUCUUGAGUUUUGUCUCAGAGUGCAACGACCAGAGAAGUUCU
This 1557-nucleotide long non-coding RNA is filed under the name Oryzias javanicus (javanese ricefish). RNAcentral describes it as "lncRNA (ENSOJAG00000013457.1)". Lineage: Eukaryota; Metazoa; Chordata; Actinopteri; Beloniformes; Adrianichthyidae. The record is from RNAcentral.